Molecule: transfer RNA, 77 nt
Filed under: Clostridiales bacterium
Lineage: Bacteria; Bacillati; Bacillota; Clostridia; Eubacteriales
Description: tRNA-Arg
Rfam family: tRNA
About the family: Transfer RNA (tRNA) molecules are approximately 80 nucleotides in length.
Source: RNAcentral
GCGCGAGUAGCUCAGUUGGAUAGAGUGUUUGGCUACGAACCAAAAGGUCGGGGGUUCGAAUCCCUUCUCGCGUACCA